ACAAAUAUGAGACGUUAUUGCGAC
RNAcentral lists this non-coding RNA (24 nucleotides) under Arabidopsis thaliana (thale cress). The record is from RNAcentral. Lineage: Eukaryota; Viridiplantae; Streptophyta; Magnoliopsida; Brassicales; Brassicaceae.